RNAcentral lists this ribosomal RNA (845 nucleotides) under uncultured bacterium. RNAcentral describes it as "bacterial SSU rRNA". It matches the Rfam family "Bacterial small subunit ribosomal RNA", at positions 31 to 880 of the family's 1533-position model. The record is from RNAcentral.
CAACGCNCGGCGGCGUGCCUCAGACAUGCAAGUCGAACGAUUAAAGCUCUCUUCGGAGAGUGUAUAGAGUGGCGCACGGGUGAGUAACACGUAAGUAAUCUACCUUCGAGUGGGGAAUAACAGUCGGAAACGACUGCUAAUACCGCAUAAUGCAGCGGCAUCGCAAGAUGACAGUUGUUAAAGGAGCAAUUCGCUUGAAGAGGAGCUUGCGGCAGAUUAGCUAGUUGGUAAGGUAAUGGCUUACCAAGGCUACGAUCUGUAACCGGUCUAAGAGGACGGUCGGUCACACUGACACUGAAUAACGGGUCAGACUCCUACGGGAGGCAGCAGUCGGGAAUUUUGGGCAAUGGGCGAAAGCCUGACCCAGCAACGCCGCGUGAAGGAUGAAGUAUUUCGGUAUGUAAACUUCGAAAGAAUAGGAAGAAUAAAUGACGGUACUAUUUAUAAGGUCCGGCUAACUACGUGCCAGCAGCCGCGGUAAUACGUAGGGACCAAGCGUUGUUCGGAUUUACUGGGCGUAAAGGGCGCGUAGGCGGCUUGUCAAGUCACUUGUGAAAUCUCCGGGCUUAACUCGGAACGGCCAAGUGAAACUGACAUGCUAGAGUGCAGAAGGGGCAAUCGGAAUUCUUGGUGUAGCGGUGAAAUGCGUAGAUAUCAAGAGGAACACCUGAGGUGAAGACGGGUUGCCUGGGCUGACACUGACGCUGAGGCCGCGAAAGCCAGGGGAGCAAACGGGAUUAGGAUACCCCGGUAGUCCUGGCCCCUAAACGAUGAAUACUUGGUGUCUGGAGUCAUUAUUGCUCCGGGUGCCGGUCGCUAACGUUUUUAGUAUCCGGCUUGGGGGA